AUUGAACGCUGGCGGCAGGCCUAACACAUGCAAGUCGAGCGGAUGAAGGGAGCUUGCUCCUGGAUUCAGCGGCGGACGGGUGAGUAAUGCCUAGGAAUCUGCCUGGUAGUGGGGGAUAACGUCCGGAAACGGGCGCUAAUACCGCAUACGUCCUGAGGGAGAAAGUGGGGGAUCUUCGGACCUCACGCUAUCAGAUGAGCCUAGGUCGGAUUAGCUAGUUGGUGGGGUAAAGGCCUACCAAGGCGACGAUCCGUAACUGGUCUGAGAGGAUGAUCAGUCACACUAGAACUGAGACACGGUCCAGACUCCUACGGGAGGCAGCAGUGGAGAAUAUUGGACAAUGGGCGAAAGCCUGAUCCAGCCAUGCCGCGUGUGUGAAGAAGGUCUUCGGAUUGUAAAGCACUUUAAGUUGGGAGGAAGGGCAGUAAGUUAAUACCUUGCUGUUUUGACGUUACCAACAGAAUAAGCACCGGCUAACUUCGUG
RNAcentral lists this ribosomal RNA (484 nucleotides) under uncultured bacterium. RNAcentral's name for it is "partial 16S ribosomal RNA". It matches the Rfam family "Bacterial small subunit ribosomal RNA", at positions 30 to 507 of the family's 1533-position model. The record is from RNAcentral.